Molecule: long non-coding RNA, 1329 nt
Filed under: Equus caballus (horse)
Lineage: Eukaryota; Metazoa; Chordata; Mammalia; Perissodactyla; Equidae
Description: lncRNA (ENSECAG00000058060.1)
Source: RNAcentral
UUUUAAAUUUCAUUUUCUGAAAGUUCACUGCUGGUAUGUAGAUUCCCUUUUUUGUAUUGACCUUAUAUUCUAUGACCUUGCUCCGUUCACUUACCUUGUUGUUGUGGUCCCCUGGUUCUCUCGCUUUCCAGGAGCCAGGCCCAGUUGGUUUCGCCUUCUGGUCCAUAGGCACCUGAGGGAGGCAGACACCCUGGUCUCAGUGUGCUGAUUGCCCAGGGCAUCCCAGCUCUUCAAGGCUGUGGUGAUGGAGGGAUUGCAAUGGUGGAACAAGAGGACAAGUCUAAUAAUGUCAUUUUUAUUUGGGGGAAUACAGAAACUCCAGUGUUAGAACUGGCAUUUUAUAUUAUUUGAAGUGUACAGAAUUCAUAAAAUCAGAAAAAAAAAUGUAAAUAUUACAAAACAUCUCCCUUGUCCCUCCAGACUUUACUGUUUCCUUUGCCUUCAGUCUCUCCAUCCAGGGAACCCGUGGGAGCUGCUACUGGCACUGCCCAGAGGGUUUCUCUACCCAGCUCUGUGUGGCUUCCCCCAGUGCAGCGCAGCGCUCAGGGGCACUACCUCUGGGCAGCAACUCCCAUCGGGCCAGGGGCCAAACUGAAGUCAUUUCCAUUUCUCUCUUGCCAAUCUGGGACAUCUUCUGGCUCUCAGCAUGUUCUGAUGCCUCCCCUCGCCCAGAGGAAUCCUCGGCUGGGCGUCUGUGGGCUUUUUUCUUUUCUCUUCUCUGUGGGGGCCGUGGUAGAUGUGAGGGGGUUGGGAAGUUGUCAGAGCUGAGGGAUAAAGAGGAACUAGAAAAAUAUCAGGCAUGAUUGAGGGACCGGUGAAGGGAUUGGAGACAGAGCCAAGAAGGGUCAACAGAGUGGUGGCCCGAUGUCGGAAUUAAUAGUAUUACAUCCACAGAAAUGCUGGUAUUGGGGUAGAUAAAAAUAUCACACAAAAAAAGCAAAUAGCAAAGUAUACCUGAAUACUGAAAAGCAGCACUGCCAGCUCUAGAGCCAUCUGAGGACUCUUCACAAGGACGCUGCACCCCAUGCAGUCAGGCCUCCAAGUGACUUUUACGAUGAAUGAACUGGAAAGGACUAGAUUUCCCUGGCUGGGGAUUUGGGCCGAGGGGAGUAUCUGGACUUAGAGGAACCACAAAGAGUCAGUAUCAUUAGACGCACCCCCACCCCAGGCUCUGACGGAGUGAGAACCAUCUGGGCCCAAUGGCAGAGGCCCACCAGAGCUUCACCAACACUUGCAAACCACCCACUGACAGCUGACUGACCACCAUGAGACACGUGCACUGAGAGCCUCUCCUCUGUCAGCAGAGGGCACUAGUUAUUUGCCUUUCUC